GUCCUCAUGGGCACAUAAUUUCACAAUCAAGUUCUGAAUACAUCUCUCAUUUUUCUACAAGUAUCAAGUUAAGGGACUAAAGCAAGUUGAACAAGAAGUGAGGAUGAGUAAGCCAGAGGUAGCACCAACUAAAACAUUCAGUCCACUAUUGAUGUACAGAGACAGCAGUAUGCAAGAUUUCUUCAAAAGCAUCUUCUACACCCAUGAUCCCUAUCAUCUCGGCAGUUAAGGACAGCAGAUUUGUGGGAUCACCACCAACUACAGUCAAGCACUUAUCCCGCACAGAGGAGAUCGUUAGCAAGGAAACAGGAAGCACAGUCUGAACGGAAAGAAGCUUCAAAAUACCCUGCAUUGGAGAGAAUAUUCCAACUAAAGCUGACAUAAAGGAUUUGGAGACAAACAGCUUUCAGUUCUGGACAAAGAAAAAUAUAAAGAUAUAUGAUAUUAAAACAGACACCAGUUACCUCGUCACCUCACAACUUCUAACUGGGAGAGGUAAAGGUUAACUUGAAAACUUCUCUAGCCCAUUGAGUUGGGACCUCAACACCUGAAAUGUCUCUUUUUGUCACAUGAUUGAAAUUGGACUUUAAUGAAUUGCUUAAAUAAACACUUUUGGGAUUCUCAGUCAUUUGUUGGGUGACCUCAGAGGGAGAGCAGAACUCCAGACGAAGCCAUUAGCCUGCCUCAGGCCCUCCAUCGCUGUUUCCAAGUUGCUGGCUAGAAAACAAAUACUGUGUCUAUGAGAAGGAGGUACCAGUGGGUCCAGCUCACUGACUGUACUGCUAUUGGACGUGGACCUCCAGGAAAUUGUAACUCACAUGAACUGGUUUUUCUAUACCUCUGGAUUUACCAGAUCUUGAAAUUUAUAAUCUAGCUCCUCUCCUGCCUUGUCUUCCUUAGUUUCCAAAGAACUUGUGUUUGUGAAUGGAUUUAGAAGUAAUUCCCCACACUUUGAAUGUUUUGAUAAUAAACUCUACCUGUGAUUUGUUUCUGCUGUGGAUUUAUUUCAUAAAUUGGAAUCCAAAAACCAGAGUUUGGGAAAUAAUUUCUGGCCUAUCUCAUUAAGGGACAGAAGAGAAAAAGGAAACGUGUAAAUCAAGCAAGACCUCGUUGUCUGGAGGUUAA
This is a non-coding RNA of Chiloscyllium plagiosum (whitespotted bambooshark), 1125 nucleotides long. Lineage: Eukaryota; Metazoa; Chordata; Chondrichthyes; Orectolobiformes; Hemiscylliidae. The record is from RefSeq and is a predicted model, not a curated record.